RNAcentral lists this unclassified non-coding RNA (420 nucleotides) under fungal sp. RNAcentral describes it as "partial internal transcribed spacer region". The stretch from base 1 to 46 matches the Rfam family "Eukaryotic small subunit ribosomal RNA", at positions 1786 to 1831 of the family's 1831-position model. Lineage: Eukaryota; Fungi. The record is from RNAcentral.
AAGUCGUAACAAGGUUUCCGUAGGUGAACCUGCGGAAGGAUCAUUAACAACAUAUCCUAACUAAAAAACCCUGUGAACUUUCAAUGUCCCGAACCUUUGAUCCGAGGACUUCAGCAAUCUCUGGUAAAUCAUGUCGAACGGUUUGAUUCAGAGACCUCUGGCUUGUGCGAUGACGGCGGAAGCUAAAGGUGUAAUCGAGCGCUAGGUUCAGUGGUUUGGUCUUCCCCUCAAACCACUUCAAUGAAUGUCAGUGUCAUUGAAGUGUGAUGGGGAAGUCGCUUAACGACGCUGUAGGCUCACACGAGCCGGCGUCCAAAUCACCAGGCGCAAGCCUCCCUAAAACCACAUGUCAGCGUAGGCCCUUCUGUCGUGGUUGGGCGUAAAAACGAACAACUGUUAACAAUGGAUAUCUUGGUUCUC